UUUGGGCGACCUCAGCAAAGGCACCAACCCCAGCUGGGCCCUGGGGAAUGCUCUGGUCUUGGAGGGUCCUGAGGCCUGAAGAGCUCAGGAAGCCACAGGCAGCACAGUCAGCUCUCCAGGCCUGGGAUGCUACCUGUCUUCGAGCCACACUCCUGAGGAUGACAAAGAGCCCGAGGGACCUGCCUGCCAGGCACUAGGCCUGUCACGCCACGUGCCCCAGUUCAAGCUGAUGCCUGAGCUCUAAUCCCUUUCCGUCAGCCUCCCAUUCGGCUGAUGAGGAGCCUGAGGCACAAACAGGAUACGAGACUUGGACAACAUCACAGCUCAUGGCUUGCAUGAAAAGGAGCGAACCUUUCUCACUGGCUCCUGAGCACUUGGGGAGGUGCUGGUGACACUGGCGCCAACAUUCUGACGGGGGUGGGUGCGAGGAAGACAUACUGCAGGG
Molecule: long non-coding RNA, 445 nt
Filed under: Homo sapiens (human)
Lineage: Eukaryota; Metazoa; Chordata; Mammalia; Primates; Hominidae
Description: HSALNT0255723
Source: RNAcentral